AGGGUGUCAAAGCCCUCCCCCCAUCCGAUGCACGGCAGGAGAGCACUGCUGAGCAUCCGCAAUCAGAGCGUCGCUGCCGGCCGCGUUCCUGCUAUAUGCAAAGAGGGACUCAUCGUGCCCCUCCAGGAGCAGCACAGACCCAACGAUAAUACCGCGCCCUACCUCCCUGUGACGCUGACAAGCAAUUUGUGCAAGCUGCUCAAACGACCGACCUCGCGACGUGUGCAGGACCAUCUGGAAAGCAGGCUCCAGCCGCCGCAGUCUGGCUUCCAUCCCCACUACUCCACUAGAGGUCUCCCUAGGCUUGCUCCCGCACGAAGUACCCCCGCACCAGUCGGGUACCGAGAUUGGCGCAGCGCUUGUGGGCUCUGUUUUCGUGCGUUCGACUUGGCACCUCACGGCAGUGAAGAAGCGCAGCGUAGCGCCGUAACUUACUCGCUGAAUCAUGGAUUUCUGAGACGGCGGUCCUGUCUGCGUUCGCCUCCGCGAGAAGAGACCAGAGAUAUCCCGCUUUACACGCCGAGUCCCACAGGAGUGUGCUCGAGGCCCUCUUCUCUCCACCGCUAUAGUCGACUCGCUGGGUAUGGGGCUCCGCAAGACCGGCGAACUGCACUACGCCUUCUGUGCUGAUGAGCUCACACUCCUCACGCCCUCCUCUGGCGAGAAUGUCAUACAGGUCACGCUGCGAUUCGCACUCUGGAGGGCGGAGCACAGGCCGCUGAAGCGCUUCAUGGUGCUCAGUGCCCAGCCCAAAGCAAAAUGCACACCCCUCUCUGCGCGGCCAAGCUCACUGUCCAUUUCCGGGAGGGACACGGCUCGUUGCACGCGCGUGCCCGGAGGAGGAUCGCUGCCCCUUCCGCCUUCCCGGCGUAGACCUCCAACCCAUGCGCGACACUGGCCGGCACGUUGCAGGAGCCAUCAAAGUAGCCAGGGCUCGGCUUGCCAGGCGUAGGGCGGUGUGCUCGCGCGAGCGGGGUCCGUCAGAGGGUCUGCUCUGCCCUUUCGGCGUGGCGCUGCUCGCACGGCGGCUGCUUUGCGGUGCCGCCGCGCGGCGGGACGGUGCCAGCGCCAACGGCAGGAGGGCCGUUGACACCACCUUCGUGCCCAAAGCGGCCGUGGCCACCGUGGGUAGGCGAAUGGCGCGCAGACGGCCGAGACCCGUCUCAGCCCGGCGCCGGCCGCGCGGCGCACAUGCGAGGUAGGGGCGGCGUAGGGCAGGAAGGGCCCGUUGGCCGCACGUCCAUGCCGCCGCUGUGGGGCGGUUCACCCUGGGCGGCCAGGGUUUGGCGGUGGUGCCGCGGGGGUCGGUGCAUGGUGGCUGGCGCGUGUGUUUGGUGGUGGUGGAAUGGCGUCUCGGAAAACGUCGCUGGGUGAGGGGUUACGUUUUCCCUUCGUCCUCUUGUUCUGUUCUCCGUUAUCGUAGUCGUGAACUCUCACGUGAUGGGAAUGUAGUGCGAUAAAAGUCCCGUUGAGACGAGAGGGCCCCGGCAGCUAAUGUUCGUGUCAUCUAAAGAAAUUGUUGGUUUUGUUGUUGGUGUUGAGUGGGCCUUCGCUGCUUGGACUUGCUAUGGGUACUCACAAUAUUAC
RNAcentral lists this unclassified non-coding RNA (1587 nucleotides) under Leishmania donovani. RNAcentral's name for it is "gene:unknown". The record is from RNAcentral. Lineage: Eukaryota; Euglenozoa; Kinetoplastea; Trypanosomatida; Trypanosomatidae.